Cyprinus carpio carpio is the source of this 1497-nucleotide long non-coding RNA. The record is from Ensembl. NCBI's taxonomy places the organism in Eukaryota, Metazoa, Chordata, Actinopteri, Cypriniformes, Cyprinidae.
CUUUUUUCUUUCUUUCUUUCUUUCUUUUUUUUUUUUUUUUUUUUGUGGAUCGUCUCAUUCUGUUUGUGACACUGUAUGCUACAAAACCAUGCCGUUUUUUACUACCAAGACGCAGUUUCUGAGCGUGAGUUAUUCCAUAACGGACACAAACAAUUCUGUCCCUGAAGAACUGAAACGUAAACAAAGGAAUUAUCAUCCAUAUUACAACGUUAUUGUUUCGUUGAACUAAACGUGCUCCAUGAGAUGUCGUUCAGUGGACCCUUACCUUUCUAACUAAACCGGGAUUUACAGCUGUGGAUGUGUUUAUCACUCGUUAUUUCGACGAAUCUGUGUGGGCAGGUUGGGCUGGUCAGCAGAAGGAAGCAUGAAGUGCUCCAAAAUUUCUUGGUAAAUGGGUGCAGGGACUUUGGUUUUCAAAAAACACAAUGGACCAACACCAGCAGAUGACAUUGCACCCCAAAUCAUCCCAGACUGUGGAAACUUAACACUGGACUUCAACCAACUUGGCUAUGAGCUUCUCCACCCUUCCUCCAGAUUCUAGGACCUUGGUUUCCAAAUGAAAUACAAAACUUGCUCUCAUCUGAAAAGAGAACUUUGGACCACUGGGCAACAGUCCAGUUCUUCUUCUCCUUAGCCCAGGUUAACUUGGACGGCUCACAUGUGAAGUUGUGAAGGAGGUCAAGAUGACGGAAAUCAACAAUGUCAGAUCAUCUUGAGAAUCCGGUAGAGUCAGACCAACUGCAGAACGAGUCCUCGCCAGUUCUCUCAGCCACCCUCCCUUUCCUCGUUCUCAUUUCAUUGCCAGGUAGCUCAUGGCACGGCAUGAUGCUGUGUAAGCUCCAUCUGUUUGGCGCGCGGCUGGUGACAAACUGCGAGAGAGGAGGCCUAGUCAGUCGCUGUGGAUUGCAUUGCGGUGGAACCAAUCGGCACCUUCCCACAUGGCCCAAAGAGAAAGCCCCCCGGGAAACCCUUCAACACGGCCAGCCUACAACCCAGCACACAAUUUGUGCUCCACCAAAUAUGAAGCCAACUUUCUACCAACCCUGACUUCACCCUUGAUCAGUACAAAACAAAAAAUGAGGGCAGCAGAAAAUGAAAUAAAAAUGAAGGAUUUGAGAGAUCAAAGCGUUAAAAGAGUAGUUCAGCCAAAAAUAAUAAUAAAAAAAAGUCUGGUAUUAUUUACUCAUGUUGUCCCAAAUUCAACUGCUGUUAUUCAUUUAUUUAUUUAUGGAACAUACACAUAUAUAUAUUAUUUUGACAAAAUUAAUAGAAGGACUCCUAUCACAGAAAGAUACAAAACAAAUUUUUGAACAUUUAUGUUUUUGGUUCCUCGCUGGUUUAACAACCUUCCCAUCCUUAUCCAGGCAGCCGAAUCCCUCACAAUAUUCAAGAAAUGACUAAAAACUAAUCUUUUUACUGAGGGAACUUAAAUGCAUCCCACUGAUGUUUACUCUUUGUUGUACUCCUCAUUUGUUAGUCAGUUUAGAUAAAAGUGCC